UUGUAGCAAUAAGCCAAACGCACCAGUGAUCAACAACAACAAAGGUGUUUUGUCAACGGAAACACUAACGGAGAACCGAUAGUCAGCGGCAAAGCUUGUGAAUCGUGUAAUACUACAACCUCAUCUCAGUGGUUCGCCUGGGGCCAUCUCACAUGCAGUGCAAGGUCUGUCUCAUAACUGCUGAGCAGUACUGGAAAAAGUAUGGUGGCCUCAAAGGUGCCCUCAAGAAUAGGUGAUUCUGAAAUGGAUGUGGCAAAGAAAAAAUCUGGAAAGCAUAUCGGAUGAAGAUGUAUCUCUAUUUCCAGAAGCGGACACCCUCUAGUAUGACUUCGCACAGACCUCACAGAAUUGCAGUAUUAUUGGAUAUUGUGCC
This is a long non-coding RNA of Homalodisca vitripennis (glassy-winged sharpshooter), 373 nucleotides long. RefSeq lists it as uncharacterized. The transcript is spliced from 4 exons. NCBI's taxonomy places the organism in Eukaryota, Metazoa, Arthropoda, Insecta, Hemiptera, Cicadellidae. The record is from RefSeq and is a predicted model, not a curated record.